CUGUGGUCUACUGCCUGACUCCUUCAGGUUCUUAGAAGAGCUGGGACGACAUAACUAUGUUACUGCUACUUCUUACCUUGAACUGAUUGGCUCAUUUCGGCAGCUUUUAACCAAGAAGCGGCAGUCUGUCAUGGAAGCAAAACAGCGCUAUGUGAACGGACUUGACCAGUUAGCUUUCGCCGAGUCUCAGGUAAAGCCCAUGAGCUGUUCAAAAUAAUAAAAUGUUCUGAGCGGGGGUCGGGGAGGGGUGGUGGCUGCACACGCCUCUAAUCCUAGCACUCAGGAGGCAGAGGCAGGCAGAUCUCAGUGUAUUUUAGGCCAGCCUGGUCGACAGAGUGAGUUCUAGGACAGCCAGAACUACACAGAGAGACCCUGUCUCCAAAAACCAAAACCAAAACCAAACAAACAAAAAAGAA
RNAcentral lists this long non-coding RNA (416 nucleotides) under Rattus norvegicus (Norway rat). RNAcentral's name for it is "long non-coding RNA NONRATT011241". The record is from RNAcentral. Lineage: Eukaryota; Metazoa; Chordata; Mammalia; Rodentia; Muridae.